This 301-nucleotide ribosomal RNA is filed under the name uncultured bacterium. RNAcentral's name for it is "partial 16S ribosomal RNA". It matches the Rfam family "Bacterial small subunit ribosomal RNA", at positions 509 to 807 of the family's 1533-position model. The record is from RNAcentral.
CAGCCGCCGCGGUAAUACGUAGGUGGCAAGCGUUGUCCGGAAUUAUUGGGCGUAAAGCGCACGUAGGCGGUUAUUCAAGUCAGAGGUGAAAGCCCGGGGCUCAACCCCGGAACUGCCUUUGAAACUAGAUGACUGGAAUCUUGGAGAGGUCAGUGGAAUUCCGAGUGUAGAGGUGAAAUUCGUAGAUAUUCGGAAGAACACCAGUGGCGAAGGCGACUGACUGGACAAGUAUUGACGCUGAGGUGCGAAAGCGUGGGGAGCAAACGGGAUUAGAUACCCCUGUAGUCCCUGUCUCUUAUAC